This 703-nucleotide ribosomal RNA is filed under the name uncultured delta proteobacterium. Its description in RNAcentral is "bacterial SSU rRNA". It matches the Rfam family "Bacterial small subunit ribosomal RNA", at positions 60 to 744 of the family's 1533-position model. Lineage: Bacteria; Deltaproteobacteria. The record is from RNAcentral.
AGUCGAACGCGAUUGGGGGCACUCCAGAUCGAGUGGCGCACGGGUGAGUAACACGAUAGGUAAUCUCCCCCCGAGUGGUGGAUAACCCAUCCGAAAGGAGAGCUAAUACAGCAUGAGACCACGGCUUCGAAAGGAGUUGAGGUCAAAGCGGAGGAUCGCAAGACUUCGCGCUUGGGGAUGAGCCUGCGGCCCAUCAGGUAGUUGGCGGGGUAAUGGCCCACCAAGCCAUAGACGGGUGGCUGGUCUGAGAGGAUGAUCAGCCACACUGGAACUGAGACACGGUCCAGACUCCUACGGGAGGCAGCAGUGGGGAAUCUUGCGCAAUGGACGAAAGUCUGACGCAGCGACGCCGCGUGGGUGAUGAAGGCCUUCGGGUUGUAAAGCCCUGUGGGGAGGGACGAAUAAGUUGCAGCUAAUACCUGCAGCGAUGACGGUACCUCCUUAGCAAGCACCGGCUAACUCUGUGCCAGCAGCCGCGGUAAGACAGAGGGUGCAAACGUUGUUCGGAAUUACUGGGCGUAAAGCGCGUGUAGGCGGCUAUGCAAGUCGGAUGUGAAAGCCCUCGGCUCAACCGGGGAAGUGCACCCGAAACUGCAAAGCUAGAGUCUCGGAGAGGAUCGUGGAAUUCUCGGUGUAGAGGUGAAAUUCGUAGAUAUCGAGAGGAACACCGGUGGCGAAGGCGGCGAUCUGUUCUAUUACUGAC